This is a transfer RNA of 71 nucleotides. It matches the Rfam family "tRNA". Rfam says of the family: Transfer RNA (tRNA) molecules are approximately 80 nucleotides in length. Their secondary structure includes four short double-helical elements and three loops (D, anti-codon, and T loops).
GAGCCUUUAAUUUAAUGGUAGAAUGGUUUCUUGAUAAGGAACUUGUAGGAGUUCAAAGCUUCUAGGGCUUA